Long non-coding RNA from Apis cerana (Asiatic honeybee), 1921 nucleotides. RefSeq lists it as uncharacterized. NCBI's taxonomy places the organism in Eukaryota, Metazoa, Arthropoda, Insecta, Hymenoptera, Apidae. The record is from RefSeq and is a predicted model, not a curated record.
GACGGCAGGGAAGAGGGAGGAGGUCGCUCGCGCGCGCACACACGACGAAGCCCUUGUCCGACAAAUCGGUCGCGUAAAGGCGCGCUUUAAAAAGGGAGAAAGAAAGAGAGAAAGAGAGAAAGAGAGAGAGAAAGAGAGAGAGAGAGAGAAGGCUGGUCCGAAUGGCGGUUUCGCGGCCUCGCAGACGGUCAUUUGUCUCCUGCAACGCCUGCCUCGGUUCCGCGUUCCAUCUGCGUCACAAGUCAGUGCGUUCACCUUGCCUCGAGUUAUCAAAAUCGGAUCCCCGAUGCGAUAGCCCGUCCACAAGCGUGUAUUCUUGGACCUCGAUCGUACAGUUGGCCGCAAAAAUAAUUCGAGGCGAAAAAACACACAACGGGCGAUUGCAACUUCGCAAGUUUGCAACUUCCUCGGCAAUUAUCCGAGCGCCGCGCAUGCGAUUCGUAUACGAAAAUAAAAGGGAAGAGGCGCGAGAGCCACGCUCGACGAGUUUUACCUGCACGAGACGAUGCUGAAUACACGCCGGCAUCCAGCACGCACGAUCUCCUUGCAAUCGCGAACAGUUUCGUACGGCGUGGAGCGUCCUCGUCCUUCCAGGAUAACAGGACGAUGCCACCGUGGUGAGGAGAAGAAACGACGAUGCCAGAAAUCGCGGACCGUGACUGGUUCCGCUUAAAGCCUCGUUCACAUCCCACGGACUACUCGCGUGCCUUCAUCGGUCAUCCAGGGGAAAAAUCAGGACUGGAGGGUCUUGGUGAGGAACUUGCAGUGGACGCGGUAUUGGUCUCCUCCACGUCCAUCAUCAUUCAUACCGACAAUGACGGAUCAAUGCGAACGUUGGAAAUUAACGAAGAAUUAUUUUAACGAGAAUAGCAAAAUAGGAAUUAAAAGGGAUAUUAUAUGGAGAAUAAGUGAUUUUGUCAGACCCGCCAGUCUCUAAAUGUCCAAUUCCACGGGGGCAGAAACCAUAAAAUCGGGAAGCUUGAUAAAGGGGUUGGGGGUUGGUUUCAUGCGCCCGUCCACGAGCGCGGACUUACGGAAAACAACUGACAAAUGAUGUUACCCCCACCGUAGAUAACCACUAUUCGGCGCCUCUAACCCUGCGCCGCAAACACCUGCCGCGCAGGAACGUUAUCAUCGCGCAGGCGCUGUACCUUUAAAAUAUACUUUUUAAACUUUUAUAUAACUGAAAAAAUUUUGCUAUUUGAUAUUAUGUAUACAUAAUACAAAUUGUAAAUUAAAAAUUUCAAUUUGGAAAUUACUCAUAUAUAUAUAUAUAUAUUAUAUAUAUAGGAAAGUGAAAAUGCAAUCGCAUAUUUUCUUUUUAUUUUUAUUUAAUUCUUUUUAAACAUCCGAAAUAGUUUUUUCUUUUGUUGAAUGAUAAUGUCGAGCAAAAGUUUCUCCUACGAGUAAUGGAAACACAAGAGAAGCUUCUGCAUAUAUCUAAAAUAUUAAUGAAUAUUAAUUUAAUCUAUUUUAUUCAUUUUGAAUAAUAUGUUUCACAAAAAUAUUCUUACUUUAACUGGUUUUGCAUCCAUUCGAAUUUUACCCCAUGAAAUAGCUUCAUCUGGACGAGCACCGCUAUCACUCCCAUCAAAUUCUGAAGCUGUAUUAAUAAACACAGAAUAAUCAGCACCAUUUCUCUAAAAAAUAAAUUAUUUAUUUUAAAUCAGUUCAUUAUCACAGUUUUUUUAUAUUUAUUUUUUUUUUUCAUUACCAUAAGAUUUGCAUUACAAAUGUGAUGUUUUACAACACCACCUCCAAUAAUAAUCAUGCCACUUUUCACUGCUUUCAUAGCCAUUGUAUUUAAUCUCUUAAGGUCUGUAAUAUAAUUAGCAUUUAAAUAUAUAAAUAAUAUUUAUUUAAUGAAUAAAAUAAAUCAUAAAUUAUUAUAUAUUAAAAAAAAAUAAAUCAUAUAUAAAAA